Molecule: long non-coding RNA, 216 nt
Filed under: Cricetulus griseus (Chinese hamster)
Lineage: Eukaryota; Metazoa; Chordata; Mammalia; Rodentia; Cricetidae
Description: lncRNA (ENSCGRG00000024378.1)
Source: RNAcentral
CGGGGGUACUGGCAGAAGACAUCUAUUAUCAUGUGUAUGGAGCUGAUAUCAAAUAUUUCCUUUAAUCCUAGAGACACUGCUAAACCACACGUACUCAAGCUCUCAGACACUCCAUAUCAGCAGUGUCAUCAGCCUUCAAGAUCUCUAUGGCUGGUAUGUACCGAUGGUAGAAUGAUUGCGGAUCUUGAUGGUGAGCUGUAAUUGUCAACUUGACAG